GGAGGAAAAGAAACUAACAAGGAUUCCCCUAGUAACGGCGAGUGAAGUGGGAAAAGCUCAACUUUGAAAUCUGGUACUUUCAGUAUCCGAAUUGUAGUCUCAAGAAGUGUUUUCUGUGCCGGUCCAUGUAUGAGUCUGUUGGAACACAGCGUCAUAGAGGGUGACAACCCCGUUCAUGACAUGGAUCCCGGUGCUUUGUGAUACACUCUCGAAGAGUCGAGUUGUUUGGGAAUGCAGCUCAAAUUGGGUGGUAAAUUCCAUCUAAAGCUAAAUAUUGGCGAGAGACCGAUAGCAAACAAGUACCGUGAGGGAAAGAUGAAAAGCACUUUGGAAAGAGAGUUAACAGUACGUGAAAUUGUUGAAAGGGAAACGAUUGAAGUCAGACGUGCGUGAUGCGGUUCAGCUUUAGUUCGCUAGAGUGUACUCCGUAUCUUUGCAGGCCAACAUCGGUUUUGUUAGUCGGAUAAAGGUUUGAGAAAUGUGGCACCUUCGGGUGUGUUAUAGUCUCAGACUGAAUACGAUUGAUGGGACCGAGGAACGCAGCGCGCCGCAAGGCAAAGGUUCCGACCUUUUCGCGCUUAGGAUGUUGGUGAAAUGGCUUUAAACGACCCGUCU
RNAcentral lists this ribosomal RNA (615 nucleotides) under Cystobasidium laryngis. Its description in RNAcentral is "eukaryotic LSU rRNA". It matches the Rfam family "Eukaryotic large subunit ribosomal RNA", at positions 52 to 654 of the family's 3401-position model. The record is from RNAcentral. Lineage: Eukaryota; Fungi; Basidiomycota; Cystobasidiomycetes; Cystobasidiales; Cystobasidiaceae.